This 1160-nucleotide long non-coding RNA is filed under the name Coturnix japonica (Japanese quail). RNAcentral's name for it is "lncRNA (ENSCJPG00005001147.1)". The record is from RNAcentral. Lineage: Eukaryota; Metazoa; Chordata; Aves; Galliformes; Phasianidae.
AGACCCCAUAGAGACCCCAUAACCCCAUAGAGACCCCAUAGACCCUAUAGGGACCCCAUUAAACCCACCUUGAACUGAGCCCCGAACUGUCGCAGCUCCUCCAGUGGUAGCAGCGCUAUAGGAGAUUAUAUGGGAUUAUAUGGGAUAUAUGGGAUAUAUGGGAUUAUAUGGGGUUAUAUGGGGCUAUAUGGGGUUAUAUGGGGUUAUAUGGGGGGAUAUGGGGUUAUAUGGGAUUAUAUGGGGUUAUAUGGGGUUAUAUGGGGUUAUAUGGGAUUAUAUGGGAUUAUAUGGGAUUAUAUGGGGUUAUAUGGGAUUAUAUGGGAUUAUAUGGGAUUAUAUGGGGUUAUAUGGGAUUAUAUGGGGUUAUAUGGGAUUAUAUGGGGUUAUAUGGGGUUAUAUGGGGUUAUAUGGGGUUAUAUGGGGGAUAUAUGGGGUUAUAUGGGGUAUACGGGGUUAUAUGGGGUUAUAUGGGGUUAUAUGGGGUUAUAUGGGAUAUAUGGGGNNNNNNNNNNNNNNNNNNNNNNNNNNNNNNNNNNNNNNNNNUAUAUGGGGUUAUAUGGGGUUAUAUGGGAUUAUAUGGGAUAUAUGGGAUUAUAUGGGAUUAUAUGGGAUAUAUGGGAUUAUAUGGGAUAUAUGGGAUUAUAUGGGGUUAUAUGGGGUUAUAUGGGGUUAUAUGGGAUUAUAUGGGAUAUAUGGGGUUAUAUGGGGUUAUAUGGGGUUAUAUGGAAUAUAUGGGGUUAUAUGGGAUUAUAUGGGAUAUAUGGGGUUAUAUGGGGUUAUAUGGGGUUAUAUGGGGUUAUAUGGGGUUAUAUGGGGGGUAUAUGGGGUUAUAUGGGUUAUAUGGGGUUAUAUGGGGUUAUAUGGGAUAUAUGGGGUUAUAUGGGAUUAUAUGGGGAUAUAUGGGGAUAUAUGGGAUAUAUGGGGUUAUAUGGGGUUAUAUGGGGUUAUAUGGGAUAUAUGGGGUUCUAUGGGGUUCUAUGGGGUUCUAUGGGGUUAUAUGGGGUUCUAUGGGAUCUAUGGGGUUCUAUGGGGUCACUGACCUUUGCCGUUGGUCUGGGGGGGGUCGUUGUUUUCCCGUCCGCCAUCUUGGGGGGGGUCUGAAGCUUCAGGGGUGGGGCCUAAACAGGAAGAGACCCAAAAUGACCCCAAAAUGGCCCUAA